AGCGAACGCUGGCGGCAGGCCUAACACAUGCAAGUCGAACGAACUCUUCGGAGUUAGUGGCGGACGGGUGAGUAACACGUGGGAACGUGCCUUUUGGUUCGGAAUAACUCAGGGAAACUUGUGCUAAUACCGAAUGUGCCCUUCGGGGGAAAGAUUUAUCGUCAUUAGAGCGGCCCGCGUCUGAUUAGCUAGUUGGUGAGGUAACGGCUCACCAAGGCGACGAUCAGUAGCUGGUCUGAGAGGAUGACCAGCCACACUGGGACUGAGACACGGCCCAGGCUCCUACGGGAGGCAGCAGUGGGGAAUCUUGCGCAAUGGGCGAAAGCCUGACGCAGCCAUGCCGCGUGAAUGAUGAAGGUCUUAGGAUUGUAAAAUUCUUUCACCGGGGACGAUAAUGACGGUACCCGGAGAAGAAGCCCCGGCUAACUUCGUG
RNAcentral lists this ribosomal RNA (433 nucleotides) under uncultured bacterium. Its description in RNAcentral is "partial 16S ribosomal RNA". It matches the Rfam family "Bacterial small subunit ribosomal RNA", at positions 29 to 507 of the family's 1533-position model. The record is from RNAcentral.